RNAcentral lists this ribosomal RNA (335 nucleotides) under Leva indica. RNAcentral describes it as "partial 12S ribosomal RNA". Lineage: Eukaryota; Metazoa; Arthropoda; Insecta; Orthoptera; Acrididae. The record is from RNAcentral.
UGAAAUUUGUGUUAGGAUACUAAUAGUUAAUUUCUUUAAAUCCAAAGAAUUUGGCGGCAUCCCAUUCUAUUCAGAGGAAUCUGUCCCAUAAUUGAUAAUACACGAUUAGUGUUACUUAAUUUUUGUUUGUAUAUCUCCGUUAUCAGAAAAUCUUUUUAGAGAUAUAAAAUUUUCUUAAUCCUUAAUUAAGGAUUAUUUCAGGUCAAGGUGCAGCUGUAAUUAAGAAGGAGAUGGGUUACAAUAAAUUUAAUUUUUACGGUUUUAAUUAUGAAAAUUUUUAAUUAAGUUGGAUUUGAUAGUAACUGUUAACAUAUACAUUGAAAGACUACGCCGAC